UUCAAACGGCCGCGGUAUCCUAACCGUGCAAAGGUAGCGUAAUCACUUGUCCUCUAAAUGUGGACUAGUAUGAACGGCAUCACGAAGGUUAUACUGUCUCCUCUUUCCAAUCAGUGAAACUAAUCCCCCCGUGAAGAAGCGGGGAUAAAAAUAUAAGACGAGAAGACCCUAUGGAGCUUUAAACAAAAUAGCAUUCACCACAUAAUAAAAAAUUCCAGUAAUCCUUACUCUUUAAGCAAUUUGACUAUAUGUUUUUGGUUGGGGUGACCGUGGAGCACAACACAACCUCCAUGUUGAAAGAAAUUACUAAACUAAGAGCUACACCUCUAAGUAUCAAAAUACUGACAUCCAUUGACCCAAUAAACUUGAACAACGAACCUAGUUACCCUAGGGAUAACAGCGCAAUCCACUUCAAGAGCCCCUAUCGACAAGUGGGUUUACGACCUCGAUGUUGGAUCAGGGUCUCCCAGUGGUGCAGCCGCUACUAAAGGUUCGUUUGUUCAACGAUUAAAACCCUACGUGAUC
Molecule: ribosomal RNA, 525 nt
Filed under: Duttaphrynus beddomii
Lineage: Eukaryota; Metazoa; Chordata; Amphibia; Anura; Bufonidae
Description: partial large subunit ribosomal RNA
Rfam family: Bacterial large subunit ribosomal RNA
Source: RNAcentral